GACGAACGCUGGCGGCGUGCCUAAUACAUGCAAGUAGAACGCACAGUUUAUACCGUAGCUUGCUACACCAUAGACUGUGAGUUGCGAACGGGUGAGUAACGCGUAGGUAACCUGCCUGGUAGCGGGGGAUAACUAUUGGAAACGAUAGCUAAUACCGCAUAAUAUUGAUUAUUGCAUGAUAAUUGAUUGAAAGAUGCUAUUGCAUCCCUACCAGAUGGACCUGCGUUGUAUUAGCUAGUAGGUGAGGUAACGGCUCACCUAGGCGACGAUACAUAGCCGACCUGAGAGGGUGAUCGGCCACACUGGGACUGAGACACGACCCAGACUCCUACGGGAGGCAGCAGUAGGGAAUCUUCGGCAAUGGACGAAAGUCUGACCGAGCAACGCCGCGUGAGUGAAGAAGGUUUUCGGAUCGUAAAGCUCUGUUGUAAGAGAAGAACGGGUGUGAGAGUGGAAAGUUCACACUGUGACGGUAUCUUACCAGAAAGGGACGGCUAACUACGUG
Molecule: ribosomal RNA, 505 nt
Filed under: uncultured bacterium
Lineage: Bacteria
Description: partial 16S ribosomal RNA
Rfam family: Bacterial small subunit ribosomal RNA
Source: RNAcentral